RNAcentral lists this non-coding RNA (212 nucleotides) under Clostridium sp. RNAcentral's name for it is "6S RNA". It matches the Rfam family "6S / SsrS RNA". Rfam says of the family: E. coli 6S RNA was the first non coding RNA to be sequenced, but its function was unknown until recently. It consists of 184 nucleotides that fold into an extended hairpin structure with a large single-stranded internal bulge. The record is from RNAcentral. Lineage: Bacteria; Bacillati; Bacillota; Clostridia; Eubacteriales; Clostridiaceae.
UUUGACCUGAAAUGUUCGAAGUACACUAUAAUUUUGAACCUACAUUUGACAUAAGGGAGUCUGGAGUUUGAAAAUAUAUGUCAGGCCCUAAGCAAAUACCGACUUAUGCUAAAAGCAUAAGUACGGCAAGGGAAGACAGAAAUUUUUAACAGGACACCCACCUAGUUGCGGCUAGGUGUCAGAAUAUAGGGAAACGGCAUUUUGGGUUACAU